AGCCGCAGUGUUAACACUCUUCAAGGAGGUCAACCUUCAAAUCUCUCAUUACUAAGCAGGGCUGAGCCUGGUCAGUACCUGGAUGGGAGACCUCCUGGGAAAACUAGGUUGCUGCUGGAA
Molecule: ribosomal RNA, 120 nt
Filed under: Sinocyclocheilus rhinocerous
Lineage: Eukaryota; Metazoa; Chordata; Actinopteri; Cypriniformes; Cyprinidae
Source: RNAcentral